AUGACUGCUGACUCCAAAGCCCGUGCUCUUUCCAGUGAGCCAUGCUGCUUCUCAUCAAGGCUUGAUCACCUGGAAAGGUUUCUGCUGCAAGGGGGCCCGGCUGCUGCCAGCAGUGCUCGACUUGUCCGAGCCAGUCCCUCCUACGAGCCCACAAGCUGUUUUUCCUCCACUCCUGCUACCCAUCGCUGGCAUCUGCGGGUGGGGGGUGGGUAGAGAAAGCAGGGUGGGGUGGCAGUCAGCAGACAUUUUCUAAUCUUCACAAGAGGAUGACAUUUCCAAGUUUCCUUUCUCCCAUGGUAUUACUUAGUAUUCCCUGUUUUCAUUAGUUCUUUCCCCCACUAACCAUCCUGUCUAGGCUGAGUUCUUUGCAACAGCUGCCUCUGGGUGUGAGUUAAGGGCAUCUCUCUUUAAUAGCCAGGACCCUCUCAUCUCCCUGAACCCCAGUCCAGGUUUUGGGAUCUCUAGGUCUCCUGGAAACAUAAUUAUGGUGUUUAUUACCAUGUGUUAAGUGCUGGGGUAGAUACAAAAUACCUUAUCCCCAUUUUGCUGAUAAGGAAUUGGAGGCGGAGAGAGGUUAAAUGACUUACCCAAGGUAAGCUGGGAUUAGAACCCAGGUUAACGCAGUCCUCCCUGGGUAUAAGGUUCCCAGUGCUGAGAGUCAUUGCUCCACACUAAAAGUAGCAAUAAGACAGUGUUGGUUCAUCUUUGUCACUAGGGUUUGGGCUUAGCACAUCUCCAGGUUGUGUACAUUGCAUAUCCUGAAGAGUAUCUUCGUGCUGGAGAAGGCUGUUUCGUAAAUCAAAUCAUAAAAAAAAAAACAAACACUGUGAAGAGUUCUACCUGACAAUUGACCGAAAGGAGUUGUGUGGAAUUAGUAAUAUUCUGUUGUAUUUGCCUCAGAAGUCAAUGCCUAGGCAACCUAGAACAAGGUUAGAUAAUAGCGUAACGUUGAAGUGUGGGGUGUAAAGCAUUCCUCUAUCUAGAUGUUAAGCUCAUUGAAGCAGGGCCUAUUUCUACCAGUUCUAUUAUAUUGUAGUCUCCCAAGUGCUUAGCACAGUGCUCUGCACAAAGUAAGCAGUCAAAUACCAUUGAUUAAUUCUAGAAACUUUUCUCAAAACCCGGCAGGAAAUCCAGUUCCCUUCACCUCAAAUGAGUAAUGGCUUCAUGACUUAUUUUGGGAAGACCUCUUGAAGAAUAAAGCUUCCUCUGACCUUACGGGCCUAUAGGUUUACAUUAGACCUGGGUUAAAUCAGAAGUGGCAGUGAAAACAGAAUUUAAGGACGUAAUUCAAGUGGGCAGUGUAUCUUCUGAGUUGCAUGAUGAGCUUCUGGUGAUGUAUCAUUAAGCACACCAUCCGCCUGUGAUGACUGCUUUUUUUGAUUUGGGGCUGUUAGCACCAGCUUCUGUUUUCAAUCCUGUCUUAGUCCCCCUGCCCCUCUCCUGAAGCUGCAAGCCAGGCUGGUUUGUCCCAUGGUCUUGUUCCUCUUGUUGCUUGAUGUUCUCUCCCUCUCUCUGCUUGCGUUGGUCUCCUGGCAGCUUGCCCUAUACCUUCAGAAUAUUCCACUGCUGCCCAUUCUCCACGUGUGGUUCACCUGAUGAAGCUAGGUUGUGAUGAAUGCCAUGUCAUUGCAUUCAUCCUGGAAGACUGUGUUCAAGCCUUG
This 1661-nucleotide long non-coding RNA is filed under the name Ornithorhynchus anatinus (platypus). RNAcentral's name for it is "lncRNA (ENSOANG00000049245.1)". Lineage: Eukaryota; Metazoa; Chordata; Mammalia; Monotremata; Ornithorhynchidae. The record is from RNAcentral.